CUGCCUUGGCCCUGCCCACAAGGGGCAUUGUGACAUAUUGCUGAGCCCAGUACCUAGGUGAUAUGACUCUCCUGAAUUGCCCCUGCACUCAGGGGAGACUUUUGACCCUGCCCAAAGUGGCAAUUGUGACAUAUCUUUGGCCAGCACCCAGGAGAUCCAAACUUUGUUCCUGGUCUCUCUCCACAGUUGGAAUUGGGAACUACACAUGGGCACAGCUUACAGGUGGAAUGAUGACUCACACCUGAAGAUAUUUUGACCUUUGUAGUCUUAGGGCAAAAACUAAGGUCCUGUGUCUUCAACUUGUAGGAUGGUCACGGAAUAUUACAACUUGCAUGCACGUUGAAUGAAGCCCUCAAAUGCUACAAAGAGUGCCAAAAUAGAGCCCAGCUAAAACUGUGGUAAAACUGUGGCUGUUGUAUGCAAACUCAAAUAAAAGUAAGGAUUAUCAGCCUUCCACAUUAACAGAACCCACUGUUGAGGUUCUGAAUCGCUCACCAAGAGGCAAUCAAGUUGGAAUUGUGACUCUCAUGCAUCAAUCCAAUCGACAGAUGAGAUGAUAACACCAAGUCCAGGAUUUAGAACACCUGGGGGCUGUGCUUCCCCUAUCAAAACACAGUCUGUUGGUGAGAUUUGGGCUCUCGUGCAUUGAUUUAGUCCACUGUUGUGACUGACUUGCAUAGUUGAACUCAAACCCACAAGAGGUGUUGACUCUUAUACCUUUAGCAGGAAAAUGUCCCGGAUUGUGAAUUUCUGCUAUUGACCGGGUCCAGCUGGAUCCAGGUAUGAGAGUCAUCAUCUCACCUGUGAGCUGUGACCAUGUAUAUGUCGCAAUUUCACCUGUCAUCAGGAAGCAGACAUGAGAGUCCUAUCACCUGGGUGCUGGGCCGGAGCACAAUGGUGUGAUCUCGACUCACUGCAACCUCCGCCUCCCGGAUUCAAGCGAUUCUCCUGCCUCAGCCUGCCGAGUAGCUGGGAUUACAGAUGAAAAAAGAUGCAAAGAAGACAUAUUUGCUUUUUAUCCACACAUCAUUUCCAAUCACUAUGCUGAGCAAAGUCAAUGUGAGCAGAGCUGAGAAUAGCAGUUUUCUGGCAGGACGGCCACUUCUGAGCAAAAAAUGACACAAUAAAAGUAUAAAUAUUUAAUAGUAAGCUAAUAUAUUUUCAGCAAAUUAAGCAUAUGCAUUAAUAAAAUUAUUGUGGUAUAAUA
This 1207-nucleotide long non-coding RNA is filed under the name Homo sapiens (human). Its description in RNAcentral is "HSALNT0340988". The record is from RNAcentral. Lineage: Eukaryota; Metazoa; Chordata; Mammalia; Primates; Hominidae.